UACGUAGGGGGCAAGCGUUGUCCGGAAUCAUUGGGCGUAAAGCGCGUGUAGGCGGCCCGAUAAGUCCGCUGUGAAAGUCCAGGGCUCAACCCUGGAAUGCCGGUGGAUACUGUCGGGCUCGAGUCCGGAAGAGGCGAGUGGACUUCCUGGUGUAGCGGUGAAAUGCGCAGAUAUCAGGAGGAACACCGAUGGCGAAGGCAGCUCGCUGGGACGGUACUGACGCUGAGGAGCGAAAGCGUGGGGAGCGAACAGG
This 253-nucleotide ribosomal RNA is filed under the name uncultured bacterium. Its description in RNAcentral is "partial 16S ribosomal RNA". It matches the Rfam family "Bacterial small subunit ribosomal RNA", at positions 524 to 776 of the family's 1533-position model. The record is from RNAcentral.